GCGCCCUUGGCCGAAUGGACUGAGGCAUCCCUCUUCUACAGGGAAACAUGCGGGUUCGACUCCUGCAGGGCGCU
RNAcentral lists this transfer RNA (74 nucleotides) under Variovorax sp. WDL1. Its description in RNAcentral is "tRNA-Arg". It matches the Rfam family "tRNA". From Rfam's summary of the family: Transfer RNA (tRNA) molecules are approximately 80 nucleotides in length. RNAcentral also lists the same sequence under 1 other name. The record is from RNAcentral. Lineage: Bacteria; Pseudomonadati; Pseudomonadota; Betaproteobacteria; Burkholderiales; Comamonadaceae.